UUAGCUCAACCCAUCUGAGUGGGAAAUAUGGUUAGCCUCUGUAGUGUCCAUGUGGAAGUCCUGACCUCGCUUGCAGACUUGACCUCUGGAGAUGAAAAGCUCUUCAUCUGGGAAAUGAGCUAGGUUCAUCUUCCUUGGACAUUCUAGCAUCCUUAACUUUCGGUCCAGCAAGCACAAGAGCUGAAUCAGCGAAUAGAGUGAACGAACACUCAGGAUGAGAUGGCUGCUGCUGAUGGGUCUGUCUCUCUAGGUCAUUACCUCUCUUCCAACUGCAAAUGCUGCAUGAUACUAAGCUUACAGAAAUACAUCUGGGACAAUUGCUUCAGGUCAAUAGAUCAUACAAAUUUGGCCAAACCAGGAUGAAGAGCAACAGAUAUGCUUGGAAAUGACUAUGCCCAACAAGAACAAUGAAGUAUAGUAAGCCUUAAUGCCAAAUCUUCAGGUAAAUGACACUAUAAAAUUCAGUCUUUAUGAAAAAGUAAUCUGUGCAAGUAAUCACACCAUUUUUUUUUUUUUGGUAAAUAAUGAACAAAUUCAAUGUUACUGUAAUGAUAAAGGAAUAGGGAAAAUGAUACAUUUCAGGUUUAUCUGACAACCACCUAGACCUACUCAGAGUACAUACUUCUUUAUGUACCCAUAUGAACAUACAAUGCUAUGGAAUGUAAAGAAGUAUGUAUUUUUGGUAGGUGAUAAACCACCAAGGGGCAAGGAAGUAGACUGCGACGGAAAGGAGCAACAUUUCUUUUGGAAUGACCUUCACGUAGCCAAUUAACCUGGCAUGAAAGAGGAUUUUUUUUCAGUACUGCCACAAUAAAAUGUGAAACAAAACAUUGUGUUCUAAAGACACUGAUUGUUUUUAUGUAGAGGAAGAAAGAUGUCUGUUGAGAAAAAGGUAAAGAAGACUUGAGUAUUUUUGGUUCAUUUUUCAAAUAGCUUUCUCAUUUUAAAUCCUUUUUAAAAAGAAGAAGAUUCAGAGUAAUUCAAAUGACUAUAAUGUGAGACCAAAACAAGGCAUCUUAGCAAAAAAAAAGGGUGGGGGAGGAAAAACAAAG
Gracilinanus agilis (Agile Gracile Mouse Opossum) is the source of this 1052-nucleotide long non-coding RNA. RefSeq lists it as uncharacterized. The transcript is spliced from 4 exons. Lineage: Eukaryota; Metazoa; Chordata; Mammalia; Didelphimorphia; Didelphidae. The record is from RefSeq and is a predicted model, not a curated record.